AGAAGACGCUAGGUGGGCUGCGCGCUCUGCCAGGCGAAGGCUGGAGCGCAGACGGCAAAGCCGCGCGUUUCAGCCGUGGUCGGGUCCGCAGGACCUGGGCGUGGGGACACCACCAGGCAGGAGCAGAGGCAGGACUGGGACGCCAAAAGCUGAGAAUCCUCGAUGCCCGCGCGAGAGCCCCGUGUUAUGGCGAGUUCUGGAGGCUGGGAAGUUCAAGACCAAUGCACGAGAAUUUGGUCUAAAGAGAAUCUUCUUGCUCUGAACACACAUAGUAGAAGGCAGAAGGGCAAGAGAGAGAACAAAGUCUGUGUCUCCACAUGGCAGAAGAGCAGAGGAGACAGAACCUACUCCUCUAUGGCAACCACCCCAUCAAUGACAAAAAUCCUAGAAGGAUGUAUGUAUAGGAAGUUGAAGUGUUGAGAAGAGAAUGGCUCAGAGUCAAGCGGGAACAAGUUCUAUAUCUGGAUAAAGUGCGAAGGAGCUUAAAUCUGUUGAAACCCAAAAUUUGCCUCCGUUUAAUGGCUUAGGUGAGUCUGUCAUUAUAUAGAUGGAGCAUAUGUUACUCUCUUCAGUGUUUUCUUCACUGCCAAUCCUGUUUCAAAUUGUAUGAGUGAUCGAAAUUGAGCCCGCUGACAUUCUAAUCAAGAGAAAAGAAGUAUAUAUGGUGCCCAAUUACCUGAAUCAAAUUGAUUUACUCAUUUAUUCUUCCUUAUGUUUCAAAAAUAAAGAUGUCAUUAAUCCAGAUUUUAAAUAUCAGAAUGUAUUAUAUAACAUUUCAGUAGUAAACCAACAAAUAUCUGAGACAGGUCUCUACCAAGUUAGAGGUUUAUUUUGCCAAGGUUAAGGACCAUGGCCUGUGACACAGCCUCGGGAGGUCCUGAGAACAUGUGCCCAAGAUGAUACAGCCUCGGGAGGUUCUAAGAACAUGUGCCCAAGAUGGCUGGGAUACAGUUUGAUUUUAUACAUUUUAUGGAGACAGAAAUUACAGGCAAAACAUAAUACAUGUAAAGCAUAUAUUCAUUUGGCCCAGAAAGGUGGAACAUCUUGAAGCGGUGGCUUCCAGGUCAUAGAUGGAUUCAGAUUUCUGAUUGGCAGUUGGUUGAAGGAGUUAAGCUCUGUCUGAAGAGUUGAAGUCAGCUUGAGUUAAGGUAAGACUGGAAGAGAGUUGUGGAAGCCAAGGUUCUUAUCAUGUGAAGGAAGCCUCCAGGUAGCAGGCUUCAGAUAGAAUAGAGGGUGAAUGUCUCUUAUCUGACCUUAGAAGAUGUCAGACUCUUAUUGAAAUCUUUUAUGGAUCAGGAAAAGACCUGCAAAGGGAAGGGGAUUCUCUACAGAGUAUAAAAUUUCCCCACAAAAGAUGGCUUUGCAGGGCCAUUUCAAAAUAUGUCAGUGAAAUACACUUUGUUGUAAAAUACUUUGAUUUCCUUUAGGGCCUGUUAUCCAUCAAGAGUCGGGUUGGACUUGGCAUCUUAUUAAUACAACGAAUCUCUUCUGUCAGUCUUAGGAUCUCUCUUUUAAUGUUAAUAUUGUUCAGUUUUGUUGAAACUCCAAAAGAGAAAGGAUAUGAGGCAUGUUCAACACCACCUGUCUCAUUGUGGCCUGAAUUAAUUUUUCAGGUUUCUUAAGAAUCUCCUAGGCUGAGAGAUGGGUCCACUCAAUAAGAUGGAAGGGGGUAUAAUUUUAAUUUAGAUUCAUAAAUAAAAAGAAAAAUUAUUUUUCUACAUUCCUUUUUCUCUAAUAAUAUUUUUAUUUUGUUUUACCAUUUGAAAUUCUAUGGUCAAAAAUUUCGUAAACUAAAAUUUCUCCUGAGAUUCAUUUUAGAAGAAUUUUCUAGGCAAGUGUUUUUAGUCUCUAUCAAGAAUUUGUAGCUGUUUUUAUUAUUUAAGAAAACAAGCAAAUGAAAAUAUGUGAUCUUUAAGGGCCAAUAUAAUAUUUUAUUCUAUCAAUAGGCUUAUGCAGAACUGAUUUUGGUAAAGAUUACAGCAGGGUAUAGUUUUAGAAUUUCUGUCUCAAAUGCAAGUUGGAAUAACAUUCUAUAAUUUGCUUUUAACACACACACUUAAUGAAUGUAAAUAUGAAUCUCAACUAAUAAAAGAAUGAAAAGAACAUAUUUUUCUUAGAUGCUUUUCUUCAGAAACAUGAAAAACCCUCACACUAGUUUUUGGUCUGAAUUAGAGAUAGUCUAUUUAAUGUUGAUGCCACUGUGUGAACAUUUUAGAAUAAUUUAAUAUUAAUUGUUUUGCAGUUUCUUCUGUCUAAUGGUAACUGGAAUUUCCCUUUCUAAUUGUGUAUUGAAGAACGAGAACGACUCAUGUUUAAGUGUUAGAUGUAAGUCAUUUCAUAAUUACUCGUGCACUUCAAAAACAACAAAAAUAAAAUCAAAAUCAUAGAUUAUAUGGAAAGCUCAAUUCAAAAUUUGUAAAAUGUAGCAUUUUGUUGCAUUUUAUAGGAAAACAUAGGAUUGUAAUAACAUUAAAUUAUGUAUAUAUUUUUACUCUUCAUUAAAUGAAAUUUAGAGACAUCGUCAAUCAUUAAGUUGCAUUUAGUGAGGUGUUAACAGAAAUUAAUUCAUUGUAAACAUAAUAAUAAAAUGAAUGGAGCAGAAUUACC
Molecule: non-coding RNA, 2607 nt
Filed under: Homo sapiens (human)
Lineage: Eukaryota; Metazoa; Chordata; Mammalia; Primates; Hominidae
Source: RNAcentral